Molecule: small nucleolar RNA, 105 nt
Filed under: Olea europaea subsp. europaea
Lineage: Eukaryota; Viridiplantae; Streptophyta; Magnoliopsida; Lamiales; Oleaceae
Description: Plant small nucleolar RNA R71
Rfam family: Plant small nucleolar RNA R71
About the family: R71 is a member of the C/D box family of snoRNAs containing the C (UGAUGA) and D (CUGA) box motifs. Multiple nearly identical copies of this snoRNA have been identified in Arabidopsis, and it is thought to function as a 2'-O-ribose methylation guide for 18S ribosomal RNA.
Source: Rfam by way of RNAcentral
UAUCCAUGGUGGGGGCAAAGUGUUUGUAAAUCUUUGUAUCUCUCCUAGGCUUGGUAUAAGGUUUCACUAUCUUUUUGGGCAAAUGAGAAAACUUGCCUUGGGUUA